AACGAACGCUGGCGGCAUGCCUAACACAUGCAAGUCGAACGAGACCUUCGUGUCGAGUGGCGCACGGGUGCGUAACGCGUGUUAAUCUGCCCUUGGUUUCGGAAUAACAGUCAGAAAUUACUGCUAAUAUCGGAUGAUGUCUUCUGACUAAUGAUUUAUCAGCUAGGUUUGGGCCGGCGUAGUAUUAGCUAGUUGGAGUUGUAAUGGACUACCAAGGCGACGAGUCUUAGCUGGUCUGAGAGGAUGAUCAGCCACACUGGGACUGAGACACGGCCCAGACUCCUACGGAAGGCAGCAAUGGGGAAUAUUGGACGCUGGGCGAAAGACGGAUCCAGCAAUGCCGCGUGAGUGAUGAAGGCCUUAAGAUUGUAAAGCUCUUUUACACGGGAUGAUAAUGACGGUACCGGAAGAAUAAGCUCCGGCUAACUACGUG
This 433-nucleotide ribosomal RNA is filed under the name uncultured bacterium. Its description in RNAcentral is "partial 16S ribosomal RNA". It matches the Rfam family "Bacterial small subunit ribosomal RNA", at positions 29 to 507 of the family's 1533-position model. The record is from RNAcentral.